UAUUAUUUUAAGAUUAUUUUUUAUUGUUGAAAAAAUUAAAAAUAAAUUGUUUUUAACAAAAAUUAAAAUUUAUAAUAUUUCAUUUUUUGGUUUUUUGUUUUAAAUUAAAAUAAUAAAUAUGGGGGAAAAAAAAAUUUUGUUAUAAAUUAUAUUAGUUUAUUUUAAUUAAAAAUAUUUUUUAUUAAAUUUGUUUUUUUUAUUUUUUUAUAAAAAAUAUUAAUUUAAUUAUUAUUAUUGAGUUUAAUUUAGUUAUUUUUAAAAAAAUUUUGUAUAAAAUAAAUUUGAUAAUAAAUGUUUUUUAAAUUCUUUGGGGGUUUAGUUUAUGAUUUUUUGUUUCUGCUCAUUGUUAAAUAAAAGCACUUUUA
RNAcentral lists this ribosomal RNA (365 nucleotides) under Meloidogyne enterolobii. RNAcentral describes it as "partial 16S large subunit ribosomal RNA". Lineage: Eukaryota; Metazoa; Nematoda; Chromadorea; Rhabditida; Meloidogynidae. The record is from RNAcentral.